RNAcentral lists this ribosomal RNA (800 nucleotides) under uncultured bacterium. Its description in RNAcentral is "bacterial SSU rRNA". It matches the Rfam family "Bacterial small subunit ribosomal RNA", at positions 8 to 783 of the family's 1533-position model. The record is from RNAcentral.
AGAGUUUGAUCCUGGCUCAGAACGAACGCUGGCGGCGUACCUAACACAUGCAAGUCGUACGAGAAAUUCCGAUUCGUCGGGAGAGUAAAGUGGCGAACGGGUGAGUAACACUAGGGUAAUCUUCCCUUAAAUAAGGGAUAACGUUGCGAAAGCGACGCUAAUACCUUAUAAGACUACGAUCUCUGAGGAGAUAGUAGGAAAAGAUGGCCUCUGUUUCAAGCUAUCGUUUAAGGAUGAGCCCUAGCACUAUUAGCUAGUUGGUGAGGUAAUGGCUCACCGAGGCGACGAUGGUUAGCUGGUCUGAGAGGAUGACCAGCCACACUGGAACUGAGACACGGUCCAGACUCCUACGGGAGGCAGCAGUGAGGAAUAUUGCGCAAUGGGGGAAACCCUGACGCAGUGACGCCGCGUGAGUGAUGAAGGCUUUCGAGUCGUAAAGCUCUGUUAGGUGGAAAGAAACAUUCCGGCGCUAAUAUCGCCGGGACUUGACGGUACCACCAGAGGAAGCACCGGCUAACUCCGUGCCAGCAGCCGCGGUAAUACGGAGGGUGCAAGCGUUGUUCGGAUUUACCGGGCGUAAAGGGCGUGUAGGCGGUUAACUAAGUCAGAUGUGAAAUCCCUUAGCUUAACUAAGGAAGUGCAUUUGAAACUGGCUAACUGGAGUACAGGAGAGGAAAGUGGAAUUCCCAGUGUAGAGGUGAAAUUCAUAGAUAUUGGGAGGAACACCGGUAGCGAAGGCGGCUUUCUGGCCUGAUACUGACGCUGAGACGCGAAAGCGUGGGUAGCAAACAGGAUUAGAU